This is a non-coding RNA of Oryzias latipes (Japanese medaka), 1763 nucleotides long. The record is from RefSeq and is a predicted model, not a curated record. Lineage: Eukaryota; Metazoa; Chordata; Actinopteri; Beloniformes; Adrianichthyidae.
CAUGAUGCGACAUCUCCGCUCCGUUCCUCAUGUUGAAACUCCGCAGUCUGCAAAUCAAGCCUUCAAUCCACCUCAUAUUGUGUCAAGAAAGCAAGAACUUGAUUCUGCAUUGGUGGAUAUGAUUGUAAUGGAUGCACAACCAUUUUCAAUUGUUGAAGACAAAGGCUUCAAGGCUUUUGUCAACCUUUUGGACCCAUCCUACAAAAACAAUGGUGGAGGAGAAGUACAAAGCCAAAAAGGAGAAGGCCUUAGAUGUGGUUAGCAGGGCCUCUGCUGUCAGCCUUACAGCAGACAUGUGGACAUCCAUUAACAUGGACGCUUACUUGGCUGUAACAUGUCAUUUUAUCACCGAGGAGGUAGGUAUCCCCUGCUUUGUGCAAUGCUUUGGUUUAUGUAUCUCAGUUUGAUUUUGUUCAUUCUAGGUGGAGCUGGCCUCUGUGGUAUUGGGGGUUCUGAAGUUUCCCCAAACCCACACUGCAGCUCACUUGGCUGAGGCCAAAAAUCUUCUCAUGGAAGAAUGGGGAAUUAAAGGGAAGGUGACAGGCCUGGUUACAGACUGUGCUCCCAACAUGGUUGCAUGUGCUAAUAUAUUACUGCUUCGGCACAUAAUGUGUUUUGCACAUAUGCUUAAUUUGGUGGUGAAAAAGUCCCUCGCCCAAACCCCUGAACUAGAGGAUAUCCGAAGUAAGGGGCGUAGGAUUGUCUGUCUUUUUAAAUCCAGCACCACAGCGAAGGAGAAGCUGUCAGAGAUGCAGCGACAGCUGGCCAGGCCAGAGCACAAAUUAAUACAAGAGGUGAAACAUUUUCUUUUUUUUUUUUAUCUAAGAUUUUACAUGUUUUUGCAGUUGUUUAUUGUGUUACUUUCUUCUCUCCUUUAAAACGUGCUUGCUGUCUUAUCUUAGGUGGAAACGAGAUGGAACAGCACAUUUAAUAUGUUGGAAAGGCUGUUUAAGGAGAGAGAGCCACUGGGGGCAGCUCUGGCCACCCUCCAUACAGACCUUCCUCCACUCACCUCAGAGGACUACCAGGCCAUACACCACUGCUUGAGCGUUCUUUCACCGUUUCAAGAGGCCACAGUUGAGCUUUCGACAGAAAAACGAGUGUCAGCAUCCAAAGUCAUUCCCAUGGUCAAAAUGCUGAAACAUUACAUCUCAAGCAGGUGUGGUCAGAUCACACACCCACUUGGUGAAAAACUGGCCACUAACUUGAAGAACAAUCUCCAUGAGAGGUUUUCAGCUCUGGAGAAGGUCACUGCUCUGUCAAUGGCAACCUUGUUGGACCCAAGGUUUAAAGAGCUGGGGUUCUGCAGCCAAGGCUCUGCCCACACGGCCAUAGAGCGACUCACUAAAGAGUGUGCUGCAACAAUGCAGGUGCUACUUCCAGAGGCACAGCCACAGUCGCCACCUAGAGAAGGUCCUUCAAGUCAGCAGGAAGAUGGUCUCUGGGCCCUGCUGGACAGGCAUGUGGGGGUUCAACAGCAGGUGACCAGCACAACUGCCAGUGCAACAGUGGAGGUUCAGAGGUACUUAAAGGAACCUCACAUCCCAAGGACUCAGGACCCACUGAGAUACUGGGUUACCCACAAGGUUUUAUACCCACAUCUCUACAAGCUGGCAAUGAAGAUUUUAUGCACACCAGCUUCAUCUGUGCCUUGUGAGAGGAUGUUCUCCAAGGCUGGCGAAAUCGUCAGCCAAAGACGAAACAGGCUGAAGCCCAGCACAGUGGAGAAAAUUCUGUUUUUAAAUAAAAAUCUAUAACAUGUA